UGGGGAAUAUUGGACAAUGGGCGAAAGCCUGAUCCAGCAAUGCCGCGUGUGUGAAGAAGGUCUUCGGAUUGUAAAGCACUUUCGACGGGGACGAUGAUGACGGUACCCGUAGAAGAAGCCCCGGCUAACUUCGUGCCG
Molecule: ribosomal RNA, 138 nt
Filed under: uncultured bacterium
Lineage: Bacteria
Description: partial 16S ribosomal RNA
Rfam family: Bacterial small subunit ribosomal RNA
Source: RNAcentral